CUGCCAGGGAAAAAAAACGGACCCCAUAAGCUCCUAAAAUACACAUUUAGCCCAGCUAAGGAAACUGUUAUAAAAAAGGCCCCAUCGCUAAUUUCGGGAUUGGUGGACGAAACUACCCUUCUUCUAUCAUCUCGUACUCACCCCUCAAUCUCUCUUCUCUUCGCUAUUCUCGCAAAUCUGAUCUACUGCACUCAAACCAAACACAAUAUCAUGAGAAAAAGCAGUUUUAUUCUUUUAUUUCUUCUCACUUUAAGGUUUUUGCUCUCAUCUUCAAAUCUUCAAAUCGAUUUCACCAAUUUCUAAAUAAAUGUUAUUCAAAAUUGAUUCAAUUUCAAAGGUAACUGUCAUUGUUGUAGAUAGGCAUGACUGAUUAGUGAUUUCAUUUUUCUUACUCUUCCUUUGCAAUUUAUGAUUUUUGAACAUUUUUAAAGUUUACUAAUAUAUGGCUAUUACAAAAGCUGGACUUUUGGAAUUUUUAGGAACAAUUGAGCGUUUUUUGUUUGAUUGAACUUAUUCUUCAUUCACUUUGUUUGUAAGUUUGUUUGAGUAUUAAAGAAAUAUUGAAACAAUUGUGUUAUGGGAACUCUUUCCUACUGAUUGGAUUAAUACAGGACAGUUCCUCGCAAAUUCGUGAACUCCCCAACAAUCUGUGACCUUGCAUAUGGUCACAGAUGCAUGGAUGCAUGGAUGGAGUUUCAGUGACAUGGUAUGGGUUGUAUAGGUUUGCAAAGCAUUAUGAACACUUAAUCAGGUUGCUGCUGAAUUUUUCUGCUUUGUGACCUUGUUUGGAGAGCAAUGAAGCUUGAUUGUUGUAAACUGCUGCCAGAGAGAGAUGUUGCCGCUGUAGGGAUACUGUUGUUGUCCUUGUAAAGUUGGUUAUUUUUGGGAUUGGUUAUGGCUUUCAAAGGGUCUAUACUGAUGUCUAUUGCCCGAGGGCUCAUACUGAUCAUGAUUGUACUAUUUGCCCAAAUUAAUAAAAAUUAGUCUCUUGUUUAA
Molecule: long non-coding RNA, 996 nt
Filed under: Aquilegia coerulea
Lineage: Eukaryota; Viridiplantae; Streptophyta; Magnoliopsida; Ranunculales; Ranunculaceae
Description: long non-coding RNA (ACOE_LNC001025)
Source: RNAcentral